RNAcentral lists this long non-coding RNA (932 nucleotides) under Salvia miltiorrhiza (redroot sage). Its description in RNAcentral is "long non-coding RNA (SMIL_LNC010484)". The record is from RNAcentral. Lineage: Eukaryota; Viridiplantae; Streptophyta; Magnoliopsida; Lamiales; Lamiaceae.
UUUAGUCUUGUAAUUGCAAUGGCUCAGAAGUCAGAAGUGAGAUUAUCACUCUCUAUAAACUUGGUCAUCAUAUCGCACUGAGACACAAAGUUUUGAAGAAAUACGAGACUGUUGGGUUUGUUUUCUUUGAUUUUUCUCAUUGUUUGAGCCCUUCUCUCUCUCUCACCCCUAACGCAUUCAUGGGAAAGACUGAGUACUUAACACUCGGAAACGGUAUUGCUCUCAUAAUCAUCAGUGCUAUAGGUAAUCGAUCUAUAUAUCUCUCUUUAUUAAUAAUUCGAUUAAUGUUAUGUGAAUUAAAUUUCAUAUAUCAGAAAUCAUCAAUAUUGUUAAUUAUCAAUUAGUUGCUUAUUUGUGUGAUGGUGCUUGCAGUUACAAGGCUGCUGAGGAGGAAAAUAACGGUUUCCUCUCCCCAAGAUGAUGAAAUCCUCGACACAGUUUGUGAAAUGUCAGCAUCAUCGGCGGAAUGUGACGAAGCAUGCGCAAACGACGAUGAUAACGACGACGAUGAACCCAUAAAAAUGGAGUAUGAUACUGCCAAUCUAUGGCGGUUGAGAGAGAAGACCGGCGGCGGCAGGCAUAAGAUUUGAGGUUGAGACAUCCCAUAACUCUAGCUAUAAUCUCCUGCUCUUUGUCUGUUUGGGAGAAUAAUUUUGUCAAUUUGAUGUUCUAAUUUACUUUGUAUUUCCUUUCGUUUACAUGUCUUUCUCUCUUUUUCACUACAAAUUGCCAUGCCCUUCUUUGCUCUCCGUUUCAUCAUUGCUCAUCUCUCUUGACAUAUAAAAAAAAUCUAGUUUUUUUUUUUUUUGUUAAGUGUAGUUUAUGGUCCAAACAUCAAAAAAAGAUACUAUGUAUUUUGAAUUUAUUUGUAAAAAUUAUUGCAAUAAUAAAAUUGUCUACAUCUUUUAUGAAAGUUGUAAAAAAUGGCAUAA